AGAUGAAUUGUUAAACCCACAAGACAGCAUGGUAGUAAACCUGGAGCGGCAAACACAUAAGCGUCUCCUUCGACAGUGCUUCCAUUAGUGAGUAAGAAACUCUUAACCGUGCCAUCGUCAUUGAGCUCAAUUUUCUUUAUCCUAGAAUUAAGUUGCACUUCCCCACCUAGUGAUCGAAUAUGAUCCACUACUGGCAUACAAAGCCUUUCCGGAGGAUUACCAUCCAAGAAUGCCA
This 235-nucleotide small RNA is filed under the name Arabidopsis thaliana (thale cress). Its description in RNAcentral is "ATSL218490". Lineage: Eukaryota; Viridiplantae; Streptophyta; Magnoliopsida; Brassicales; Brassicaceae. The record is from RNAcentral.